Long non-coding RNA from Hydractinia symbiolongicarpus, 874 nucleotides. RefSeq lists it as uncharacterized. The transcript has 2 exons. NCBI's taxonomy places the organism in Eukaryota, Metazoa, Cnidaria, Hydrozoa, Anthoathecata, Hydractiniidae. The record is from RefSeq and is a predicted model, not a curated record.
ACCAUUCUCCGAUUUCAGCGCGAUCAUAAUUUUAAAAUGACGUAAUCUAAUAAUGGCGGAUUUCGUAUGUAAACAAACCCUUAACGUGAUCGAACACAAAUAGACAAGUAACGAAGUUUCACGUAACGGAAGAGAGACAAAUGGUAUACAAGGAGGGAAAUAUUUUAUAGACGAGCAUUUUAAACUGGUAUAUCCAAGCGGGAUUGGAUAAAAAGGACUACUUGCAAUACACGCUUUUUUAAAGUAAUCCAACCUCAUCCAUUAGGCAUUUUGUAUCUUUUUUAAUAUCAGCACGGCGAUACGAAUAUGGCCUUGGAGGAGGCUGGUCCGAUAUGAAACAAACCUCGUUCCCAGCGCCUGUUUUCUCUCUUUUGUAUCGGGACGGCGCGAGACGAACAUUUUCGUCUCGCUCGCUGUGUGGUUAAAGAAAAGAGACAACAGGCAUUGGGAACAAGGUUGAUAAUAAUCAAACUUUUUGGUUUGACUCUUGCGAUUCUUAAAAAAUGGACAAACAUUUUUGAAAGAUAAACAGCUUAAAAUACGAUGACAUUUGUAAUUUAAUUAAACAAAUGAGGAAAAGGCUAAUAAAGUAAUCUCUUUUAAUUCAAAAUAUAUGCAGAUCAUUGGUUACAAAAUUUGUUGUGUCAGCAUUAUCCAUAAAAUAUUCUUGAAAUAUUUUUAAUAAUGCUGAUAAAAAGUUAUGAAAAGUGUAAAUCAGUCUCCUAAAAGGUUUGAUUUUAAAAACACAACUUCAAAUGCACUGACCACAAUAUAAGAUGGGAUGAUACUGUCAUAAUAAACUGUACAAUUCUAACGCAACAUUGUAUUUUUUUUCGAAACACCAUAAAAUUAAAAAAUAAAUAUUUACCAAAAA